UUGCCACCACGUGGCACCCCCGCAUGAUUUACUUCCAACUUCAAAUCAACCGGUCGUUUUGUGUCUGGAGAGAGAACUCACAUCAGCUAAUUUUUUUAGAAAACCAGCUUACGUCCAGAAGGAAGCUGUCACUCACGAGCAGAAACGGAAGUGAGUACCCCAACCUCGAGCCCUCCCGGGGCCCGUGGGCUCGCGACACCUGCUUCCUUUGUUCAAAGGGGAUUCGCAAAGGCAAGAGAGGCGCGAGGGCCUCCCUCACGGCACAUCGGAAAGAUCAGAACCGGGGAAACUACGCCCAGAUGACAGACGACCCUCCCGCACGACACAAGAUGGUCUGGAGCGCCCCCACGGAACCGGAAAGCAGAACCCGCUUCGCCGGGCUCAGCCCGCGGCCUCCAGGCACUCACUCUGCCUCUUAACCACCACGGCCUCGGUUUCCCAGUCCGCAAAAUGGGGGCACUCGAUCGACACCCCUCUCGCGACGGCAGCCGGGGGUUCCCACCCAGCACGCGGGCCUGAAAGCCUCUCCAUCCCGUGGGCUGAGGGGCCGGCGGCAGCACAGAGCUGCGUGCGGGCAGGGACGGCCAGCUGGCCGCGGGCGGGACGGAGCACGGACGCUGUGCCGAGGGCUGCCGUUUCCUCGGCGCUCUUCAAUUAUUCAAACAACAGCCGCACCCUUAUUUAAAGUCUAGUCUUGCGUUCGCUGCCGAUAGAUUUACACGGGGACAGGCUCCCUCUCGCAAAGUCGAUUAAUUAAGCAAACACUCCUGCCAGCAGGUUCUCAGGUGCGCACCGGGAGGCCCACGGGUCUCCGCCUGCCGCCUCCGGGACACUCGAGCCGCAGGCACGGCCAGGUGGGGCGCAGCCGGGGCUGGAGAAGGGCGCAAAGGACCGCUCACCGGCACCUGCCGUGUGCCAGGCCCAGGACGGGGCUCGGGCGCCAGACAGGCUCUUCCAGCCCUCGGGGCGGGCCCCUUCCCACCCCAACUACAGACGGGGCAACUGAGGCAUGGGGAGGCUGAGGGACUCACCCAGGGCUGAAGGCCAGAGAGAGGUCACAGACGUUCCUCUGCACCCACACUCUUCUGUUCUCCCCUUCCCGCCACCCACCCAGACAGGAAGUGAGAGGUGCAAACGGGGUCCAGCGUUGACUGGGUACUUCCCACCCUUCUAACUCAGGGUCCGUAGCAGCCCUGCAGGUGAGGACCGCCAUGACCUGUAUUCGACGGAGGGGAAACUGAGGCACGGAAUGGCUGAACGACUCACUCAAGCUCACACCAGUGGUGAGGAAUGGGGUGGGGAUCUGAGCCCGGGCUGCCAGGCGCCGGUCCCCGCUCCCAGAGCUGAGCCUCAGGCUUUCUGGACGUCCACGCCUCAUCGCCUUGCCAGGCCCCGCUCGCGGCCCGCCCCCCUCGCCCAGAGGCACGUGGGUGCUUGCUCUCUCUUUGUCUCUCUCACCUGGCAGAAUGGUGCACCACCCAGGGCGCCCCAGAUUCAGUGCAGCCCAUUGGCAGAGCUUCUGGAAUGUUCCCCCCGCCCCCAUCCAUGUUAGCUAACAUGUAGUAAAAUAAGGGUUUCAGGA
Long non-coding RNA from Leopardus geoffroyi (Geoffroy's cat), 1582 nucleotides. RefSeq lists it as uncharacterized. NCBI's taxonomy places the organism in Eukaryota, Metazoa, Chordata, Mammalia, Carnivora, Felidae. The transcript is spliced from 2 exons. The record is from RefSeq and is a predicted model, not a curated record.